CCCGCACACGGUUAAAGCCCGGAGCUGAGGCCUGAUUGGUCGAUGAACUCUGGGUGUCGGAAGUGUGCUACAGGAACACGGCAGAUUUUUCGCUAACACCAUGAGGAGCCGCACGGCCCCGAUGACUGGAGUUUGAUAGUAAUUCUCGCCACACGU
Small nucleolar RNA from Bufo bufo (common toad), 156 nucleotides. The record is from RefSeq and is a predicted model, not a curated record. Lineage: Eukaryota; Metazoa; Chordata; Amphibia; Anura; Bufonidae.